GAAGCUGCGGCAGCGACACUGUGUGUUGUUGGGUAGGGGAGCGUUCUGUAAGCCUGUGAAGGUGUGUCGUGAGGCAUGCUGGAGGUAUCAGAAGUGCGAAUGCUGACAUAAGUAACGAUAAAGCGGGUGAAAAGCCCGCUCGCCGGAAGACCAAGGGUUCCUGUCCAACGUUAAUCGGGGCAGGGUGAGUCGACCCCUAAGGCGAGGCCGAAAGGCGUAGUCGAUGGGAAACGGGUUAAUAUUCCCGUACUUGGUGUUACUGCGAAGGGGGGACGGAGAAGGCUAUGUUGGCCGGGCGACGGUUGUCCCGGUUUAAGCGUGUAGGUGUGUGUUCCAGGUAAAUCCGGUUCACUUUAACACUGAGGCGUGACGACGAGGCACUACGGUGCUGAAGCAACAAAUGCCCUGCUUCCAGGAAAAGCCUCUAAGCAUCAGGUAACAUCAAAUCGUACCCCAAACCGACACAGGUGGUCAGGUAGAGAAUACCAAGGCGCUUGAGAGAACUCGGGUGAAGGAACUAGGCAAAAUGGUGCCGUAACUUCGGGAGAAGGCACGCUGACACGUAGGUGAAGUGAUUUACUCAUGGAGCUGAAGUCAGUCGAAGAUACCAGCUGGCUGCAACUGUUUAUUAAAAACACAGCACUGUGCAAACACGAAAGUGGACGUAUACGGUGUGACGCCUGCCCGGUGCCGGAAGGUUAAUUGAUGGGGUCAGCGCAAGCGAAGCUCCUGAUCGAAGCCCCGGUAAACGGCGGCCGUAACUAUAACGGUCCUAAGGUAGCGAAAUUCCUUGUCGGGUAAGUUCCGACCUGCACGAAUGGCGUAAUGAUGGCCAGGCUGUCUCCACCCGAGACUCAGUGAAAUUGAACUCGCUGUGAAGAUGCAGUGUACCCGCGGCAAGACGGAAAGACCCCGUGAACCUUUACUAUAGCUUGACACUGAACAUUGAGCCUUGAUGUGUAGGAUAGGUGGGAGGCUUUGAAGUGUGGACGCCAGUCUGCAUGGAGCCGACCUUGAAAUACCACCCUUUAA
RNAcentral lists this ribosomal RNA (1032 nucleotides) under Salmonella enterica. Its description in RNAcentral is "partial 23S ribosomal RNA". It matches the Rfam family "Bacterial large subunit ribosomal RNA", at positions 1196 to 2210 of the family's 2925-position model. Lineage: Bacteria; Pseudomonadati; Pseudomonadota; Gammaproteobacteria; Enterobacterales; Enterobacteriaceae. The record is from RNAcentral.